UCGANCGAAGUAGCAAUACUUAGUGGCAGACGGGUGAGUAACAUGUANGUAUCUACCCUUUGGCCUGGAAUAACACGAGGAAACUUGUGCUAAUACUGGAUAAGUCUUUACGGAGAAAGCUUUAUGCACCAUUGGAUGAGCCCGCACUUGAUUAGUUUGUUGGUGGGGUAAUGGCCUACCAAGACUUUGAUCAAUAGCUGAUUUGAGAGGAUGAUCAGCCACAUUGGGACUGAGACACGGCCCAAACUCCUACGGGAGGCAGCAGUGGGGAAUCUUGCACAAUGGAGGAAACUCUGAUGCAGCGAUGCCGCGUGAGUGAAGAAGGCCUUUGGGUUGUAAAGCUCUUUCGUCGGGGAAGAAAAUGACUGUACCCGAAUAAGAAGGUCCGGCUAACUUCGUGCCAGCAGCCGCGGUAAUACGAAGGGACCUAGCGUAGUUCGGAAUUACUGGGCUUAAAGAGUUCGUAGGUGGUUGAAAAAGUUGGUGGUGAAAUCCCAGAGCUUAACUCUGGAACUGCCAUCAAAACUUUUCAGCUAGAGUUUGAUAGAGGAAAGCAGAAUUUCUAGUGUAGAGGUGAAAUUCGUAGAUAUUAGAAAGAAUACCAAUUGCGAAGGCAGCUUUCUGGAUCAUUACUGACACUGAGGAACGAAAGCAUGGGUAGCGAAGAGGAUUAGAUACCCUCGUAGUCCAUGCCGUAAACGAUGUGUGUUAGACGUUGGAAAUUUAUUUUCAGUGUCGCAGCGAAAGCAAUAAACACACCGCCNGGGGAGUACGACCGCANGGUUAAAACUCAAAUGAAUUGACGGGGACCCGCACAAGUAGUGGAGCAUGUGGUUUAAUUCGAAGANACGCGCANAACCCUACCAACACUUGACAUGUUNGUCGCGAC
RNAcentral lists this ribosomal RNA (889 nucleotides) under uncultured bacterium. RNAcentral describes it as "bacterial SSU rRNA". It matches the Rfam family "Bacterial small subunit ribosomal RNA", at positions 62 to 999 of the family's 1533-position model. The record is from RNAcentral.